RNAcentral lists this microRNA precursor (102 nucleotides) under Marmota monax (woodchuck). Lineage: Eukaryota; Metazoa; Chordata; Mammalia; Rodentia; Sciuridae. The record is from RNAcentral.
AGUGGAAUAACUGGGUCAAAUUGUAGCUCCAUUCCAAUUUUCUGAGGAAUCUCCAUAGUGAUUUCCAGAGUGGUUGCACCAAUUUGUAGUCCCACCAGCAAG